UCUUAACUUUUAAGUGUAACCGUUCUCCGAAAUUCAAAAAACAAAUGAAAAGACUAAACAAAAAAAAAGACCUCAAAAGCUAACUUUAAUUACAAAAGAGCCACCAAAAGUAAAACCAAACCCUUGACGAAAAAAAAAAAAAAAGUAAAACCAAACCCACUUUCACUCAUCAUCAACCCCAACUUUUUCUUCAUCGCCACCACUCACCGCCGUAAAAGUCUCCGACAAUCUCGUCGAAUUCCGACAAAACCAAUUACCAAAACUCUCCCUUUCCUCCGCCGCCGCCACAACAAAAUGCCCUAAAUCUCCGACGACUUCAACCAAAUUCUCUUCACAUAGAAACUCUUCACUAUAAACUCUCUCAAUCUUUCUCCCAAACUCAUGUACAAAAACAUCAGUCUUCGUCUUCUUCCCAAAAUCUUUACUUUUUGCUAAAACCGCCGAAGUAAAGAUCGGAGCCAUCCUUCCCGGAGAAUCAGAAGCAUACCCACGAGGCCCAUCAAUCAAAAUCACAUCCCAAUCAAUCUCAUAAACAAAAUUAGGCAAAUCGUUAAUACCCAAUUUACAAUCAGAGAACAAAAGAUUCUGAACGGGUCGACAUUCGGGUCGGGUCUUGUAAUAACCAAGAAGCUUCCCAGCUUGAGAUACUUUAGUUGAGUAAACAACCUCAUAAGCUUCAACUCCAGGGUUACUCUGUUCGAACUUAGAAACAGAGUAAGGACUCUCAUCAACGAAAACCAUACGGCCUUGGAAGUUUAUAGAUCUCCAGAGAAGAGAUUCAUGAGUUAGUCCAAAGACUAAGAGGUUACAAGUUGGGCCAUGAGAGUGAAUGAUGGUGGAGAUGGUGGAGAGUUCAAGAAAGGACAUUGAUGUGUUUGGUGGUGAUGAGGAAGUGUAGUGGAGGAGUGCGGCGAGGACUGGUGGUGGAAGAGAGGAGGGAGGUGAGGAGAGAGAGUGAGAGGUUGUGGUGGAGUGGAUUGAGGAGGAGGAGAAGAGAGAGAAAGAGAAGAGGAGAGUGAAGAAAGAGAUGAAGAAGAUGAAUAAGAGGCGGUGGUGAUUCGCGGCGGCGACGGCGGAAGAUGAUUUUGAAGUUAGUGGAGAGUGGUGGUGGAAGAGAAUUAGAUUAGUGUUUGUGUUGCUCUUCAUUUUUUUUUGUUUUUCGAUAAAACAAAAAAUAGAAAUAAUUGAAACGAAAUGUGUGUUUUGUCGUCUCUUUAAGAAGGCUUUUAUAAACCGGUGAUGGUUUAGAGAAAGAGAUGUGUUGCUUUUGGUUUUUCUUUGGUUUGUUUCGGUUAUGGUUCAAGAACCGGUGGGUUUGAAAACUUUGUAACGGAUGUUAUUGUCAGCUGACAUAGUAACUGUUAGAACAUCUCCAUCUCCACCAGUUAAAAAAUCAUUAGAGUAUCUUAAUAAUAUUUUAAUAAAAUUAUUUACUAAACUAAAUUCAAAUUUAUUAAAAAAUUAAACCAAUCAAAAAUCAUAUCUUACUGAUAAAAACUAAAUUCAAAUUUAGUAAAAAAUUAAUAUUUUAUGGGUUCUUAAACAGUACCCAAAUAAAAGAAAAAAGAAACAAAGUCUAUCUAGAUGAAAGUUAAAGUAAUAAGAAUAAAUAAAUCAAUAAUUUUUUAUAAUAAUUUUUUUAUUAUAUGAUAUAAAUUUAAAUUUAAUAUAUAAAUAUUUAUAAAAUAAUAUAUAUAUAUAUAUAUAUAUAUAUAUAUAUAUAUAUAUCAAUAUUUGUAUUUGGUCUAAAUGGGGAUUUUAAGAACUUAUGUUUCCAUCACGUUUCGUUCUCAAUUGGGAAUACAAAGUUUGUCUCGUAUCAAAAAUUAUGUCCAUUCCCACUAAAAACAAAUUUAAAAUUUAGUUUAAGUGUAAAAUUUUCAUAAAUCUUUUAAAACAUGCGGUUCUGAUCACUGAAUGUUAAGAUUUCAUAAAUUUAAAUUCAACUCUUUGUUUUAUUCUAGAGAAAGAGUUGCUAGAGAAUCAGCGUUUCGUUAAAUUCAACUCUUUGAUUUUUCACCAUAAAGCUAUUAUUCUUUAAUGUUUCUAAAGAUUUUUGAUUUGAGAAGGCUUAUUUGUAUGUGCUCAAUCAUAUCUUGAGUUUCUCUUUUGUAUCAUACAUUGGCAGCAACAGGAUUGUUCACUGUGGUGACAUCCUCUCGAUCUUUGUACCACAAUGUUGGAUGUUUUUUUCCGUCGAUCUUCUUCUUAUCAAUUAGUAGGUCUGGUUUGUCUGCUAUGUACUUUUUCUGUAGAAUUGGUUCUUCAUGGAAAAUCGUUGGGUAAUAAACCAUUUCGUUGACUCCUCAUGAAGAUAGUUUUGUUGUUGAUGUAACUAAUGACUGCACCUGUAAUAGCUAAGAAUGGUUGUCCAAAAAUUAGCGGUCUCUAAAGUGCUUUUUCGUUUCUAUGACAUGAAAAUCAGUUGGAACGAUAUAGUUUCGCACCAUGAGUUAUAGAUUUUUACUUUACCUCUUGGUAUCUUCCGAGAUGAGUCUCCAAAGAUUACUUACAUGUGAAGACGUGAUGAUGCCUUUAAUUCUAAGUUUUCGACUAGGUUUAUUGACAUUAGUUCCAAAGUCACACGUAGAAAUGGUUGACAAACAAAAUAGUGAAGAAUCUAAAUGUUAAAAAUGAAUUAAUGGUAUUAGAUGAUUUCAUAUUCAAAAAUGUUUAAUUUAGGCUACCUAUUUUUAGAAGUCUCAAAAUGGGUCAAAUUUUAUUGGUCUAUCCAAUCUGAUCCAACUCAUCAACGCUAAUGAUUUUACUAUUUGGAUCCUAAUGAAUUGAUGGGUCAAUGAGUUUGUUGGGUUAUAUAGGUUGGGUUGUAAUUGUUUAUGGUUAACUAUAAACUCAUUGAAUUAUGAUACUCAACAUCAUCAUUAUCUCCAUACUAUUAUCAUCAUAUUAUCAUUGCCAUAUCAUCAUCAUCAUACAUACUUUUGCUGCAAAAAAACACAACUCAAUAAAAAAUUUCGCCAAUAACACGGUUUCACAAUUUUUCCAUUAAAACACUGUUUCACAAUUUUUCCACCAAAAAUGUGAGUCUACAUUUUCCAUCAAAAACAUAGUUUCUCGCCUAAAACUAGGUUUUACAAUUUUUUUCGGCAAAAACGUGUUUCUGCAAUUUUUUCCCACCAAAAAUACGGUUUAACAAUUUUUUCGCCAAAAAACGCGAGUCAAAUAUUUUUUCUUUGAAAACACGGUUUCACAAUUUUCUCGUCUAAAACAUGAAUCCAUAUUUUAUAUCAUUGAUAAAUGAUGGAAAAAUGAUUAUAUAUGAAUAAUUAUUAAUUGUUAUUUUAAUUAAUUAUUUAUCAAUUAAUUGAUUGUUUUAUUUUGAUGGGUCAACUCAUUUAACUACAAAUCAUCAAAUUGAUUGAGUUUAUGGAUAGAUUUUUUCCAUUUAAUAAAUAAAUUGGGCAACUCAUAAACAAUUUAAGUGUAACCUCACUGGUUAUAGGUUGGUUUAUCCAUUUUGACAUCCUAAAUAUCUCUUAUAGUUUUGAUUUAAAGUAAUCUAAUUUACAAAAAGUCCUAAAAAUAUUUCUAUGGUACAAAGAAAAACAAUAUCCCUUGAGACCGGAAGUAAAAGAGGUAUAUAUUUUAAAUCGGAAUUAUAAAAUAGAUAACUUAAAUUAGGUAUGUUGAAUCUGUGAUCAUUUAGCUUCCACCAAUAAGUAUAUAUUGUUAUAAUACAUCAAUAUUGGACUUAUAACCGGGUCCAAUAAGCCCAUCAGGGUUAUUCAUUAUGUAUUCUAAAACCCUAGGUUUAUAUGCCUAUAUAUAUGUAUCAUUAUUCAUGGAAUGAGAAGAUACAACCAUAAGUUUCACAACACGUUAUCAGCAUGAGUUUGCUUUUAUCAACCCUAACCCUAAAAAUCGUAAAACACUGUUCACGUCGACACUGUUCAUCGGCACUGUUCACGUCGACACUUUUCAUCGGCACUGUUCAUCGGUACUGCUCAUCGAUACUGUUCAUAGACACUGUUCAUCCCAGCGUGAGUUACUGAGGUCUUAAGCUCCCGGUUCAAUCCGUUCAACCCCAAUUGGUGAAAGGUAAAAACGAAACCUUAAAAGCUUAAAGACCAAAAAUCGAACUUGAACCUAAUGCAAAGCGAAAUCUUAAAAACGGAUAAUGAUUGAUUAAGUGAUUGCUUUUGCUUGUAUGAUUCUAUUGCUUGACUCGUUUAAGUUGUUAGAAAAGUUAUUGCUUAAACCUAAAUCUCAAACUCGAAAACACUAGGCCAUGGCUGAAACCUUAAAACCUAAAUCAAAUCAAAUCCGAAAUCCCUAAAAUAUAAAUCGAUUGAUUGAGGUUGUUUAGGUUGUUUAUAUUGAUUAUUUCUAUGAUUGAUUGCAUGCAUAAAUUGAUAGAAAUCAAAACCUAAAAUCGCAUGAACCCUAAAAACGUUUUUGCGUUUGAAAACCGCAAAAUUAAAAUCGUUUUCGAACUACAAGAAAACCUGCAAUUUGGGACUCUUUGUUGUGACUAUUUUUAUGGUCGCAAAAAAGCACGACUACUUUGUGUCUGUUUUGCGACUGUUAAACAACUACAAACGAAACAGAUGGAAACUGGUCGCUUAUUAGCGACGGAAAUAAGUAGUCGGAAAAAAGUCUUAAUUAAGCGACUACUAUCCGACCUUUUACCGAUUCAAUAUUUUUGGUCGCAACAAGGUCGCACUUUGAGACCACUUAGCGACUUGUUAUCUAUAGAACUCUUUUUUUUUACAAUUUGACUAAAGGUCACAAAACGGUCACAAAUUUUGCAACAUAUUUGCGACGAACAAAGAUAAUCGAUCACAUUUAUCUGAGAUUUAGCGACCACUUUGUUACAUAUUAACAACUCUCGAUAUUAAACAUUCGAAAUAUCAGAUUUGAGGUUUGUGACCAUAAUCCGACAUAUUGUGUGACCAUUGUACGACUGAUGUUGUGACCCUUUCGCGUCUAGCACCUGAGAUUAGUGACUAUUUUGCUACAUAUUACCAACACUCGAUAUUUUCAAUUCGAAAUUUGUGAAUUGAGGUUUGUUUACAUGUUUUCUUAUAUAUUACUACUUUGAUUUUAUUGAAGUUAGUUAGAAAAGACUUAACCAACCUCUUGAAAUUCAAUGUUUACAAUCCAUGCAUUCAAAAGUUCCAAAUCCAUAUGAACUAAGCAUGUCUCUUUAUGAACAUAAUAGGGAAUUUUGUAAAAUUUCUAAAAUAAGUUAAGAAUGUCAGGUUUGAUCAACCUAACACUUAUAUAUGUACUCUAUGCUACUAAAGUGAGUGUUUACUAGUGAUUUCUAUCAGUAUAGUGAAUCAAAUCCAAAACUUUUGUAUUUUUCUAUAGUGACUACUCAUUAUCUGUCUCAACUUAGUCACACUUUGCGACUAGUUUGUGACAUUUUCGCGGUUGUACCUAUAUUGUGACUAAAUUACGACAGGUUUUGUGACUAUUUGCCGACGAAUAUUGCAACGGUUUUGCGACUUUUGCGAUGUUUGUUAUAUUUUAAGAAAUUUUGCUAACUAUUUUGUGACCCUUUCGCGUCUAGCACCUGAGAUUAGCGACUAUUUUGCUACUGAUUACCAACGCUCGAUAUUUUCAAUUCAAAAUUUGUAAAUUGAAGUUUGUUUACAUGUUUUCUUAUAUGUUACUACUUUGAUUUUAUUGAAGUUAGUAAAAAAAGACUCAACCAACCUCUUGAAAUUCAAUGUUUACAAUCCAAACAUUCAAAAGUUCUAAAUCCAUAUGAACUCAUCAUGUUACUUUAUGAACAUGAUAGAGAAUUUUGUAAAAUUUAUAAAAUAUGUUGAGAAAGCCAGGUUUGACCAACCUAACACUUAUACAUGUAUUCUAUGCUACUAAAGUGAGUGUUUAUGAGUGAUUUCUAUCAAUAGAAUGAAUCAAAUCCAUAUAUUUUGAAUUUUUUGUGUUGUGACUUUUUAUUGUCUGUCUCAACUUAGUUACAGUUUGCGACUAUUGUGUGACAUUAUUGCGACCUGUACCUUUAUUGUGACUAAAUUACGACAAGUUUUGUGACCAUUUUCCGACGAUUAUUGCAACUGUUUUGCAACUUUUGUUAAAUCUUAUGAAAUUUUCCCUAAGUAUUUGGGCGCUUAAUUUUCCCCCCCAAAUAAUUGAUGUUGCGAUUGUUUUGCGACUAAAGAGCGACUCCUUUUCGUUAAUUACUAGGCAAAACACACACUCGACUUUUCACUUUCUUCAUUCUCUCUCGAUCUUCUUUCUCUCUCGAUCUAGGGUUUUUUCUCUCUAACUCUGCGAUUCUUCUUCUUCUCUCUCGAUCUAGGGUUUCAAUCUCUCUCUCCCUGAAUCGAUUCCUUCUCUUCUUCUCUUUCGCUUCAUUCUCAUCGUCUCAAAAAUGACCUCUCCGUCAGCCACAACCUGCGGCUCAAGCUUCACAACCAAUGUACCAGAAUCCCCAUCAUCAACCGCCGCCUCCUCUAAAUCCGGAGCAUCAACCGCCGCCUCAGGAGCCGAAUCGUUCUAAAAGUGUCACAUGACGGCUUGUUCGCUACUCAUCUACGUCGCCAUUGCUUGGUUGAAGAUGGUGCCGAUGUAGACGAUUCGAUCCCGAGUUCAGUUCUUUAAGAUCUUAGAUCUAAGUCUCGUUUUUUGUAUGUCGGUGGUCUUUGGAAACAUCUCUCUUUUCUUUCUUCCUGUUUCGUUUAACCAAGCGAUUGGUGCUUGGACGCCGUUUUUCACCGCCGUGUUUGCUUACCGGAUGAGGCUUAAGAGAGAGGCUUGGUUGACUUACUUCUCUCUUGUCCAUGUGGUCACCGGGGUCGUUAUUGCCAAUGGGGUAAUUACUCUUCUUUCAACUCUUAAAAUUGAAUCCUUUUAAGUAUGCAUUUUGUUUCUGGUUUUGAUCCAAUGAGAACGUAUUUUGAGUAUGUAUUGUUACGGCUGAUGAAAUCUUAGAGAGGUUGAUAUAAAUGUGAAUCCGGAGCAUGAACUAGAGCUAAAUCUGGUUCAUUUCAAUUUUUAUGUUGCCAUCAUAGGUAUAGUUUUGGAGCAAGUAACUAGAUAUUAUGAGCUGAAUAUGGUUGAUUCAGCUUCAUCUAAAGACUCUUACCAUCACUUAAACAUGUAUAACCUAAUCUUCAGUGAAUUCAGCAAUCACAAUUAUACUAUGGUGACAAUCUCUGAAAUCUUGAAGAACAAUGGACUGGCAACAGAGAAGAGUAAGUAAAAUCUCUUUUCUUAUCAUCAACGUUUAUCUACUCGUCAAAUCAUAAUUUCAAGAAUUUGGGUCAUCUUUGUUAUGUGUUUAAAACAUGGGUGUGUUAACAUCGAGACCAAAGGAAGGAUGGUCCAGAAGGCUAAAGCAAAUUUCCUUUUAAUAAUUAGUGACUUUGGACCUUCCAGUAGUUUGUUUACUUAAUUAACAAAAGAUGCACUAAGUCAUUGUUUCUUACUUGGUUAUGUGGUUGGCCUACAGAUGUUCAUUGGGUUGUGUCAGGAUAUACAAAAGUAAGUUCUUUUGCUUUUUUAUGCAUUCGUAAAAGUUAGGAAUUAGAAUCAGCUCAAAGUCAUUUAGCUGAAAGAGAUUGUGACUUCACUAGAUAUGCAUUGUAUAAGGAACACACAUGUCACACGGAAUUAAUAUAAAAAUUUUUCCUAAAGAGGUCUAAUAUUGUAUGCUUCAUGAAUGGUUCUGUCUCUUAAAUGACUAAGAUUAUUCAACAGUUUUGAUGUAUUGCUUGAUCAGCUCUUGAUUGUCUUCACUUUGGUAAUAAGCUUUUUUGUUUUGUACAGUUGGAGACCUUAAUCAUCUCAUCUCUCCAACCAUAACUGAUGUAGUUCUUGGAGACCUUAAUCAACUUGAACAUUGGCAGAGGAACAAGAGAACGCUGCUAGUAAGGCUUCAAGAAGUUCGUCACUUUCCUUCACCACUGAAAGUUGAUUGUUUUUACUCUUUUAAGCUAGCUCACUUCAAGAAAUUCGACUCUAUCUAUAUUAGUUUUAUUUUGUUUUUAGACUUAGGCAUCACUUAUGAUAUUAGUAUAAGACUUGGUAUGAUAUUAUGUAAACUUGUAAACUAGUCUUUUAUUUGCUUAUGUUUUUGUACUCUAUAAUACUUUGUUAGGAUGGUUUUUAUUAGUGUUUUUGAAUGAUUGAUUAUUUGCAUUUGAAUGAAGUAUUGCAGGUUUGGGAUUAUUUGCAUUAAAGCGAAUUUGCAGGUUUGGGAUUAUUAACGUGUAACCAAUAUGUGACCAAACUAAUUAACAAAUGUGACCAAUGUGUGACUACACAUUAUUACAAGAAACUCCAAAUCUAGUAUCAAAAUGGUUACUAAUAGAAGACUCUUUUGCUACACAACAAUGAGAGUCUUAAUUGGUCGCAAACAAUUAAGACUCUUUUGCGACUAAAUUGGUACUAAAAGAUAUAUCGUCUGCGACUAAUGUGGGACUAAAUAUUCGAUCCAAGAACUCUUUCGUUUGAACCGAACAAGUCGCAAACUAGUUGCUAACUUACGUUAGUCGCUCUUUAGUCGGAAAUAUACAACGACAUUAACCCGUCACAGAUUAGUCGUUAAUAUGCGACGCUACAAUUUAUGUUGGAAAAGAGUCGCAAAUUAGCGACUAUCUUGGGACUGGAAAAAUUUGCGACCGUUUUUUAGCAACUAUCUUAGUUAGUCGUGAAAGAGUCGCAAAACCCUAUUUUGCGACCGUUUUGCAACCAAUAUGGGGGUCGCAAAUGUCGUGUUUUCUUGUAGUGUUCCUCAAAGAGAAACGAAAACCCUAAUGCGUUUUAUUCAAACGUUUUCAACCGCAUGUCUACAAUCGCGAAUUCAAAUCGUUCUCAUCAUUGAAACAUAAACCCUAAUACCGAUUGAAACCUAGCGGCUCAACCGCUUACUUUUGUAAAAUCGCGGCUCAACCGCUUCUAUGUCCAAAACCACAAUUUUCGUGUAUCCCCUAAACCGGAAAUCAUUCUCGGUUAACUUCUAAACCCAAAUAUCAAUUCGGUUCAUCGGUUAAACCGAUUAUCAAACCGGUUCCGAAAAUAAUAACCGGAUCUCAAUCUGGGUAAGCCGGUUCAAACCGGUUAUUCUAAACCGGAAAUCAAUUCGGCCCAACCCCAACCAAAAAUCCCUAAACCGGAAUCUAAUAUUCCGGUUCAACUUUAAACCAUUAAACCGUAUCCUUAAAAUUUACGAUUCCCGAGAAAGUUUCCUAAAUUAGAAACUUUCCUCAAAUAGAAACUUUCCUCAUUUAGAAAGUUUCCCAAAUUAGAAACUUUCCUCAAAUAGCGAAUGACCCGGAAUGAAAACUUUCCUCAUUUAGAAAGUUUCCCGAAAUAGAAACUUUCCUCAUUUAGAAAGUUUCCCAAAUUAGAAACUUUCCUCAAAUAUAAAGUUUCCUCAAUUAGAAACCCCUAAAUAAAACCCCUAAUGAAAUCAAUUUCAUGUUUUCAGAUGACAAACAUUCAGAAAGUCGAGUUCGAGGCCCUCAAGGUCUCCGGUGAAAACUAUCUCGAAUGGGCCCUGGACACCAGGAUUUUCCUCAACUCAGAGGGACUGGGUGAGUGUAUCAAAGCGGAUAACACCGCAUCUGAUAAAGACCGGUCCCAGGCGAUAUUUCAUAUCCACCAUCAUUUGGCCGCGAGCCUCAAACAGCAAUAUCUCACUCUUGAGAACCCACUCGAACUUUGGUGGCCCUGAAAAAACGGUAUGAUCACCAGAAAACGGUGCUCUUGCCACAAGCCAAGUUUGACUGGAAGGAACUCCGGUUCCAAGAUUACAAAUCUGUGGAUGACUACAACUCCGAACUCUUUCGGAUAGUUUCAAUCAUGAAACUAUGUGGUGAAGAGGUAUCUGAUAAUGAUCUCCUCGAGAAAACAUUAUCCACCUUCCAUACCCAAAACAUUGUGCUUCAGCAGCAAUAUCGUGCAAUGAAACAUACAUUGUACGAAGAUUUGUUAUCUUGUUUGCUCUUCGCCGAGAAAAACAACGAGUUAUUAAUGAGGAACAGUGCCCAGAGGCCCUCGGGAUCGGCUCCAGUACCAGAUUCCCGCAAAGAAUCCUACAAUGUCCAGCGAGACAGAUCCUCAGAUCGUGGCCGUGGAAAUGGAAAUGGACGUGGAAAGCGUGGACGCGGAAAUGGACGUGGCAACCGACAUAACCUCGGUUAUGGUUCCGGUAAGGGCCGUGGUAUCUCUAAACCAAACCGCCCUGCCCACCCAACCAAUCAGUCUGCCUGCACCAGAUGUGGUCUGUUCAAUCACUGGACAAAGAACUGUCGUGCUCCCAAGUUUCAUUGCGAUUUGUAUCAGAAACAUGGGAAAGCACCUGCUGAAGCUAACAUGGCCCAGCAAGUUGAUGCUGACGACACCACCACCGAGCCGACCGAUCCCAUGGACUACGAGAUCUCAGAUCUCCUCGAUUGAUUCUAUCAUCUGAACACUUGCUUAUUUUGAUUUUGUUUUUUCAUUUUGGGGAUUUGUUUUAUUUUUCAUUUGCUAUUUAUUUUCAGAGCGGGUACCUCGAACUUAAUAGAAGGCCACGGCCAGGCCCAUGUGUUGUUAUCAAACGGCACACAUCUGAACAUUCCAGAUGCAUUAUACUCACCCAGCUCAAAAAGAAACUUUUUAAGUUUUAAAGAUAUCAGACUUAAUGGUUUCCACUUAGAAACUCAGGGUGAAGGGAACAAAGAAUCCCUACUGAUCACUAAGAUCACACUUGGCCAUAAACAAGUCCUCGAGACUAUACCCGCAUUAUCUACUGGCCUUUACUAUGCUAAGGUCAGUACGAUUGAGGCUAAUAAUGCUCUCAAAGCCCGGUUCCAAGACUACACUAUUUGGCACGACCGGCUUGGUCAUCCCGGUACAACCAUGAUGCGUAAAUUAAUCCAAAAUUCUCAAGGACACACCAUUCGAGAAAACCGAGUCUUCCCUCAGCACCUCACGUGCAUAGCUUGCUCCCAAGGGAAGUUGAUCACUCGGCCUUCACCAGUAAAAGUGUCCAAAGAGACAUUACAUUUUCUGGAAAGAAUCCAAGGAGACAUCUGUGGUCCCAUUCACCCACCUUCUGAGACAUUCCGGUACUUCAUGGUACUAAUAGACACUUCGACCCGUUGGUCGUAUGUCUGCCUAUUGUCUUCUCGGAACCAAGCUUUUGCUAGGUUGUUGGCUCAAAUCAUCAGAUUACGAGCCCACUUUCCAGACUUCCCACUAAAGACUAUACGUCUUGAUAAUGCUGGUGAAUUCACUUUCCAAGCGUUUAAUGAUUACUGUAUGGCCAUGGGGGUGACCGUUGAACAUCCUGUGGCACAUGUCCAUACUCAGAAUGGACUUGCUGAAUCAUUCAUUAAACGAAUCCAAUGGAUUGCUCGACCAUUACUCAUGAGGUCGAAGCUCCCGGUCUCAGCUUGGGGACAUGCAGUAUUACAUGCUGCUGAAUUAAUACGCAUCCGACCAUCUAGUGAGCAUAGAUAUUCCCUAUCCCAAUUAUUAACGGGUCAUGAGCCAGACAUCUCCCAUCUUAAAACAUUUGGGUGCUCAGUCUAUGUACCCAUUGCUCCACCACAUAGAACCAAAAUGGGACCUCAAAGGAGGAUGGGAAUAUAUGUUGGUUUUGAUUCUCCCACCAUCAUCAAAUAUCUCGAGUCGACCACUAGAGACCUAUUUAAGGCCAGAUAUGCGGAUUGCCAAUUUGAUGAAUCGGUAUAUCCAACAUUGGGUGGAGAGAAACACAAGCUGGUCAAAGAGCUAUCAUGGAAUCAAACAUCCUUAAAUUGGCAAGAUCCUCGGACUCUAGAAUGUGAUUCAGAGAUCCAAAAGAUUAUACACUAUCAAAAGCUAGCUAAUUAAUUGCCAGAUUCCUUUGCUGACCCGAACAAAGUAACCAAAUCGUACAUACCAGCUUGUAAUGCACCAGUACGAAUCACUGUCCCAACGGGACAAGUUCAAGUUGCUACAGAGUCUGCAUCACAAAAUAAACGUGGCAGACCUCUAGGUUCCAAAGACAAGAAUCCACGGAAAUCAAAGAAAGGUGCAAUAGUUGAAACCGGGAUUCCCAAUAUAACAGACAUAGCGCGCGCUGAGACUCACUCUAAUGAACCACCAGAAGAGGUUCGGGACGCCGAAUCUCUAGGUUCUGACGAGAUCGAUAACGAUGAGAUCUCUAUCAAUUACAACAUGUCUGGAACCCAAAUGGAACAGAAAAGAAGUCGACUUAAAUGCACUCUUUGCAUACAAAGUAUCACUUGAUAUUGCGAACACGCAAGAGGAUCUAAAACCCACGUCUAUCACAGAGUGCACUCAUAGAACAGACUGGCUAAAAUGGAAAGAAGCCAUAAACGUGGAGUUAAAGAGUCUCAAACUCAGGAAUGUGUUUGGUCUGAUCAUCCGGACACCAUUCAAUGUCAAACCAGUGGGCCAUAAAUGGGUCUUUGUGCGUAAGAGAAACGAACUCGGUGAAGUUGUUCGUUAUAAAGCACGGCUUGUAGCACAAGGAUUCUCACAGAGACCUGGAAUCGAUUAUGAGGAGACUUAUUCUCCGGUGGUGGAUACAACUACUUUUCGAUUCCUCACAAGUCUGGCCAUAAGAGAAAAUCUAGAUUUGCGGUUAAUGGAUGUUGUCACCGCAUAUCUCUAUGGGCCCCUGGACAAUGAAAUAUACAUGAGAUUACCAGAUGGCAUAGAGCUUAAAGAUAAGCAUGCAUCUCGAGAUCAGUACUGCAUCAGGCUGAACAAAUCCUUGUAUGGACUGAAACAAAGUGGACGUAUGUGGUAUAACCGGUUAAGUGAAUAUCUCAUCAGAGAAGGCUACAAAAACGAUCCCAUCAGUCCAUGCAUUUUCAUCAAGAAAUACUCAAACAAAAGAUUUGUAAUCAUAGCAGUUUACGUGGAUGAUCUAAACAUCCUCGGAACAUCUGGUGAAAUCUCCCAAACAGUCGACUGCUUGAAAACAGAAUUCGAAAUGAAAGACCUAGGUAAAACUAAAUUCUGUUUGGGUUUACAACUUGAGUACGUCAAAGGAGGAAUCCUUGUGCAACAAUCGGCUUAUACUGAAAAAGUACUCAAGCGAUUCAACAUGGACCAGGCCCAUCCAUUGACCAGCCCAAUGGUUGUUCGGAGCCUAGGAUUGGACACUGAUCCACUCGGUCCCAAGAAGGACGAUGAAGAAAUUCUCGGUCCAGAAAAGCCAUACCUCAAUGCUGUAGGAGUGUUAAUGUACCUGGCUAGUCACACUAGACCAGACAUUUGCUUUGCCGUGAACCUCCUAGCUCGCUUCAGCUCAUGUCCAACUCAGAGGCACUGGAACGGUAUCAAACACCUCCUAAGAUACCUUCAAGGUACUAAAGACUUAGGACUGUUUUACACUAACCACAACAAGGAUGGACUAGUUGGUUUUGUUGAUGCAGGAUAUCUAUCGGAUCCGCACUGUGGUAAGUUACAGACUGGUUAUGUUUUCACGCAUGGAGGAACAACUAUCUCGUGGAGAUCUAUGAAGCAGACAAUCGCUGCAACCUCAUCAAACCAUGCAGAAAUUUUGGCCAUUCACGAAGCCAGCAGAGAAUGUGUUUGGCUACGAUCCAUGACUCAGCACAUCCGAUCAGAUUGUGGUAUGAAAGAAGAUAAGGAGCCCACGGUUAUGUUUGAAGACAACGCGGCUUGCAUUGCUCAACUCAAGGAAGCUUAUAUCAAAGGAGAUUGGACGAAGCACAUCCUACCGAAAUUCUUCUCAACCUCGGAUUGGCAGAAGGAUGGUACGAUCAGCGUUCAACAGGUCCGAUCAAGCGAGAACUCCGCCGACCUUUUCACCAAAUCAUUGCCCGCUUCAACACUCCGGAAGCUCAUCCAACAAAUAGGAAUGCGUAGACUUAGAGAUCUACGGUGAUGCUUUAAUCAGGGGGAGUAAUGCGUGUUGUACUCUUUUUCCUUCACCAUGGUUUUUCCCACUGGGUUUUCCUGGUAAGGUUUUAAUGAGGCAACAUUCCCCAGCGCAUUAUCGAGAUCCCGAUUGACCAUCAGGUCCGGUUACUCCGUCCAAGAGGGAGUGUUAUAAUACAUCAUAUUGGACUUAUAACCGGGCUCAAUAAAUCCAUUAGGGUUAUUCAUUAUGUAUUCUAAAACCCUAGGUUUAUAUGCUUAUAUAUAUGUAUCAUUAUUCAUGGAAUGAGAAGAUACAACCAUAAGUUCCACAACAUAUAUAGAUAUGUUUGAAUGGAAAAAACAUAUAGUACUUUCAUUUAAAAUUUGUGAAACAGCACCAAUUCACUUUUAUUAUUUAAGAUGAGGAAAUCGUUUCAACGCUCGUUCACCGUUCUAACUAUCUUCAUCAUUCUUGUAGCAGGUAUGUAUUUAGAUUAAAAUAGUUUUAUUAUAUUACAUAUAAUCUUUCUAAAAUAAACUAAUUAUUAUUAUCAUUUCUCUACCUAUCUUGGUUAGUUCUUUCAAAAAUUCAUUGUCGUUAUAUCUAUUCAUAAUUAUUGUGAUAUGAUUUCUUUGAAUAUAUCUACGCUUAUUCACUAUCAGUUUUUUUUCUCUGUUUUAAACCGCAUAAAUGAAUGUUUCAAGUCCCAUUUUUCAUAAAUAUUUAUGCGCUAUAAUUUUUAGUAUAAAUAUAAAUAAAUUUUUUAAUAAAAAUCUCAACGGAUAAGAAAAAGUAAUAUAGUUGUAAUACAUUCAAAAUAUCUAUUUUUUACAAAAAAAAAAUACUUUUUUCUUUUUAAUAUAAAAACACAAAAUUUAUGUUUUAAUAUAACGGUAUCAGGAAUGGUGAGUGCACAACCAAAACAAAAUUGUUCUACGCCUCUAAUUUUCGGAAGAAGGAAGGGAGAAUGUAUUGCAGGAAGUUGUGCUCUUUUGUGUGAGCUCAAGUAUAAAGGAAUGGGUAAAUGCAUCUCUCAAGGAAAAGGCAUGCAGUGCAAUUGCAGUUUUUCUUGCCAACGCCCUUAAUGUUUUUUUAUAAAAAGCAUUAAGAAAUAUCAUAUUCUUACAUAAUAUGCCUUAAAAUAAAGUUAUAAACCAUGUAAUUUAGUGGUUGGAUUAGUAUUACCAUUGUGUCACCAGUUACAUUCAAAUCACAAGAUUUGUAAUGUUGACAAAAGAUAAAAAUAAAUUAAUAUAUAAAGUAAUAAAACAUUUUUAUAUGGUUUGUGGUAUAGAUUUUUAUGCUAAUAUCUCCAUUGAAUUAUGAUGUGGAUUCAAAUUCAUAUAUUUAUGUGUAUAAGUUAUCUAUGACCAAAAUAUAAUAUGAUAUGAAUAUGCAAAAACUAUUCUUUUCGCAUUCAUAUCUUAACUUUAUAUUAAAAAUGAAAAUAAAACUAAAGCAGAUAAGUUGGUAUGCAUAGAAUUUUCUUUUUAUAUAUAUAUUUGGAGGACAUUGAGAGAGAAAAAGGAGUAUUUUUUUUCUUUUUUGAUAUAUCUUAUUUUUUUUUGAGGAGAUAAUAUUAAAGUGGAUAAGUUGGUAGGCAAAGUUCGUGUACAACCCGUUUUAUUUUAUAUGUAAACAAUAUUCCCCUAGCUUGACUCUUAUGAAUCAUCUAAGUAAUUUAAAAUUGACAAAAAAAUGUUUCGAGUAUACAUGAGAUUGAUAAGAACGUAGUCGUCCUAAGCAAAGACAAUAAAAAUUCCGAUAGAUAAAUUUGUGAUACAUAGAAUUUGAUGAUGUUUUCAAAUUCUAAUUGGAUAAGUGUUAUUGGCCAAAACUUAUAAGAUGCCAUAUAUAUAUAUAUAUAUUAUAUAAAUGAUGAUGAGAAACCGCUUUCAUCAUCAUAUAGAUGCUGACAUGGGUUAUUUGCAAAGGUUGACGUGUUAAAGUUUGAAAACUUACGUAACUAGUUUAGAAAAUUUGACGUGUGGUUCUAGUCUGGUGGAAGAGUGUUCUGUUGGUUUAGGGUAGGGAUCGAUUAUCCCCAGACACAGAAUUACUCAGCUUUAUCUCUUUGGUCACAUGGGUAUUGGGCUCAUUGUUUACGGCCUAUUUGCAAAUUUGGGGGGGGACCCUACCCGUGAGACACCCUCUCCCCAGGGAUUAGUCCUAGACCCCUCCAUAAGUCUGGGGAUUUACCCUGAGUUAUUAAAAAAAAAAAAAAUUGAUGUGUAUUAAUUUUAUUGAAAUCAAAAUGUGUUUACAAAAUACAGAAACGUUACAAUACAAUUGUUGAAACGCAUAUAUAGGAAAUCUAUAUAUAUAAUGAGAGAGUUUUCUCUCCAUCUAGAGUGUCCACAUAGGCGACACAUCAGCGUACACGUCAUCAUACAUUUUUAAUAGGUAUAAAAUGUUACCAAAAAGAUUCGAACCCCUUACCCAAUACAUUUAAUAGGUUCAUUUCAAACCAAAUUGCCAUUUAAAUCGUUUUGAUUGAUAUCAAAAUUUAAAUUAUAUAUAUGACUUUAUAAAACUCCCACUCAAUUUAUUUAUUAAACGAAGAAACAUUUAAAAAAAUUUCACAUACUUUUAUAUUAUCAUCUUUUAAUAAAAGAAAAUAUUUUUUCAUAAACAAUAACAUUGUUUAAUAUAAAUAAAAAGUAAUAUAAUAUAACACACAAAAAUAUGUGAAUAGAAGUUAAUAUACAAAUAGAUAAUUCAAAAAUAGAAGUUAAUGAAUUAAUAAAACACAGCACAAAAAUAUAUAAGAUAACAAUAUGAAUAAAAAUUAGAAGCAUAUAGAUAAUUUUCAAAUACAUAUAAUUUAUAUAUGAGAAGUAGAAAACAAAAAAAUAUGUUAUCACGCUAGAAAGACAUUAACCUUUUCAAGAGUUAUAAAAUAUUUAAAUUAAAAAAGUUUAUAUGAUAGUAAACUAUAGAAUUUAGAUUACACGAAAUAAGAAUAUCUAUUUUUCAAGAAAAAAGUAUGUAUCCAAAAUCAAGAUAAAAUAUAUAUAAAAUUGUAUAAUAUAUUUAAGGAAAGAAUUGUGAUUUAAAAGUACAAUUAGAUACAAGAUUUCUUUAAACAAUAACGUUAGAGUGCAAUGUUUCAUGGAAAAUGCAAUGUAUGAGAAUAGGAAGAAUCCAAAUAUAAAAUUUAAUAUGUAGGAAAAAGAACAUUUUAUAAUAGACAAGAAAAAAUAAAAUAUAAAAAUGAAAUAGAUAAAGAGAAUAUAAUUUUAAUAUAAGUUUAUAAUGAAUCAAAAAUUUAAUCAAUUAUUUUAACGAAAAGAACGUGAAAAGAGAUAAAAUGUCGCGAGGUGGACGACUGCAUAUUAGAAUAUGACGAAUAAAAUGACAGCGAAAUAAUUUCAAGAGAAAUUGACUAAAUUCAAAAAGAUGUAUGAACAUGACAUGGUCGAGAUUGUAUUAUAUUUCUCUGAAUUUUUUCAACUAAUUUUUUACCACGUGUUACCUAAAAAUUUGUUGGUUUUUUUCAAGAGAAACAUUAUUCUCAAUAAAAUCUAUGUUAUAUAUCAUUCAUAAUUAAAUAGGUUUAUGUCAUUAUAGAUUUAUCUUUUAAAAUUCAAUAUAUAUAUUUAUAUUCACGUCUUAUAUUGUUAAUAGUUUAUAAGUAAAAUCCCGCGUAUUGCGCGGGGUCACAAAUCUAGUAGAUAUAAUUUUGGAUGAAAGAGUAGAAGUCAAUCUUGUGGUAGACUUGUAGACAACAUAUGUAAUCUGUUAAGUCUCUCUUCGCACUUUUUUAUUGGUUGAGAGGCAAAUGAUAACCUUGGGAAGAAAAGAGCCCCACCAUCCCCAUAUAUUGUUAAUGAUUUUGGGAUAUCACUGUCAUCGGUUGAGUUUUUUGAGAAUAAGAGAGCACCGACCUCACCGGAAUUCCUCACCGGGAAGGAUCUAAUACGACUUUUGUUGAAAUAGUUUGGCCAUAGUUUCUUUACACUAAUUACAUAUAUGAAAUUAGAUCCACAUGGGUCCCAAAUCUGAGCUAGAUUGCCCUUACUUGAUGUUGAUGUAAGAUUUCAACAAACCGAUAUAAACAAGAGGUAAGGAGAAAAGGUGUUUUCUUUAUUAAUGAUUUUAGAUCGAAGCUCAAAGAGUACAGAGGAAAUUCUAACUCGUCGAAGUAACAAACUAGUUUUUUUAACGUAAAGAAUGAUAUAGCCUAGGUCUCUUUCCGAUUAUUAAAAGACCUAGGAUAAAGAAUGUUUCUGGGAUAUGGAUUUUUCAAACUCUGGACGUUGGAUAUGGAAAUGCAUUGGCAAGCUAAGGUCUUUAGCUAGGCCUUUCAUUGUGUGUAAGGUGGAAACAGGGAUAAGCUGCAGAUUCUGGACAGAUAAUAGGAUUAUAGAUGGGGAUUGGUGGAUCUCUUCCAAGGGAUGCGGUAGUGAUGGAUGCUAUUAGAGAUGGGGAUUGGUGGAUCUCUAGUAAUAGAAGCAGAAAUCCUACUAUCCGAUUAUUAAAAGACUGUCUUCCUUCACCUUCGGGUGUUGUUUCCCAAGUGGAGGAGGAUCUUGAUGACUGCUAUCUUUGGAAGGUGGGGGACAGUGAAGCUUCAGGGAUAUUCUCUUUUGCAAAGACUUGGCAUUUUCUACAUCCCCAAGGGGAAAAGAAGGACUGGUUUAAGGCAGUUUGGUUUAAAGGAAGGAUUCCCAAGCACGCCUUUAUUGCUUGGGUGAAUGCUCGUCACAGGUUAAACACUAGAGAUAGGCUAAUUGGUUGGGGUCUAGCUGUGCCUUCAGUGUGCCUUCUCUGCAAUACUCAAGAUGAAUCAAGGCAGCACCUAUUUUUCGAUUGUUGUUUUUCUGCAGAAGUGUGGUCUUUUUUCACAGCUAGGGCUGUUGUGUCUCCUCCAAAUCAUUUUGAGGAUGCAAUCCUUUGGCUGAAGACUCCUUCUAGGGAUAAGAACAUCUCUUUAGUUCUGAAACUUGCUUUCCAUGCUUCUGUUUAUCUCCUGUGGAAAGAACGCAACUCAAGACUUUACAACUCUUCCUCAAAGUCGGCCUCUGCUUUAAUCCUUGAAGCUAAAUCCAUCAUUCGUUGUCACCUUGACCCUCUCUCGAGAGCUCAGCGGUUUACUCCUCCAAAAAUAUCAUAUUUAGCUACUUGGUUAGGACUCUUCCAACCUUAAUGUGCUCUUGUGUUGUCUUUAUGUUUAUUUGCUUCAGGUGUUACUCAUAUAUGAGGCACUCUUGUUGAUGUCAAGUGUUCUUGGCUUUGUUUUAUGAAUGGGUAAGCUUUUUGUUUUUUAAAAAGAUAAGAAAAAAAAAAAAAAAAGCCUAGGUCUCUUUCGUAAGUUGAGGAUGGCUUGUUUUGAUUGAAGACUCUUUGUUUAUGCAAAGGGGUGGUUGGUUUGCGAUAUGGACUACAUCCUUAUUUCUUGAGCAAAUAUCUCUCAUGUUUCCUAUUUUCGGAUUUUUCCUUCAUUUCAAGAUUUAAUCCUAUCUGUUCCUUUUUCUUCAUAGGUUGGCGCAAAGUCGUGAAGCUUAUGUUCGUGGACCGAUCUCUUAUUUCUUUGGGAUAUUCUUGGUUUAAAGUGGGCUAAUUGGAGGGUGUACAGCCCACAUCUCUAACACUCAAUUUGAAAAAUUGUUAUUUUAUUGAAAGACUUGUCGAUGGUGGAAUUGUCGGUUUCAACCUUGAACUCCUAAAUCUGGACACAAAACUUAUUUUUGUACUAUUUCUGAGAAUUACCUAUUUUUAUACAGGGAAAUUUCAAGAAAUUAAUAAUAUCAUAACUAUAAUAUUUAAAAGAGAUUAAAAUCAUGAUAACGAAUCAGGUAAAUGACUUUCUAACCGCUCCCGCUACGGAAAGCAAAGUGAGAGCAGAUUUAUUUAUGAUGCAUACGGAGAAGGCGCCUGGACCAGAUGGUAUGACAGCUUUGUUCUUUCAAAAAGGUUGGAAUACCAUUAAAUCGGAUUUAAUAUACCCCGUCAAUUCAUUUUUACAACAGGAGGUUUUUGUUAAGAGGUCAAAUAAUACUAAUAUAUGUCUUAUUCCAAAGACGGAGAGACCGACUCGAAUGACGGAACUGAGCCCCAUAAGUCUUUGUAAUGUCGGUUACAAAGUUAUCUCCAAGUUUCUUUGUCAACGACUAAAAACGGUGCUAUCAAAUCUUAUUUCGGAAACACAAUCUGCCUUUGUUGAAGGAUGUUUGAUCUAAGAUAAUAUUCUCGUAGCACAUCAGAUGUUUCAUGGGCUAAGAAUGAUUCAAUGAUGUAAAGGAAAAUUUAUGGCGAUUAAAACGGAUAAGAGUAAAGCAUAUGAUCGAGUCGAAUGAAAAUUAUUGAUCAGUCACUAAAGAAGAUGGGUUUCUAUAAGAAGUGGUUCUCGUGGAUAAUGUGGUGUAUCACGUCAGUCCAAUACAUAGUUCUCUUUAAAAAACAACCUAAAUGACUAAUAGUACCAGAAAGGAGAUUAAGACAUGGAGAUCCACUAUCUCCUUAUUUAUUUAUCCUUUGUACAGAAGCUUUGAUUGCAAACAUUCGGAAAGCAGAACAAGAUAAAUUGAUUACUGGUAUAAAAGUGGUGACAGCAAAUUCCUCGGUUUGUAGAGAGAAAAUGGUAUUGUAUUCAUAAUGUAAAGAUCUUAAUCAAAAAUAGAAAAAAAAUAAUAUUUUAUAUAUUUAUGGCAAAAUAACAAUGCUUAAGUCUAAGAUUUUUGGUAAAAAUGUAGGAUGUCUCCCCCUUUUCUUGGAGUCUUCACUUCUCUUUUAUAGCCACUUUCCUUCUCCUAAAGUGUCAUUACUUGACCAUUAAUCUUAGAAUUAACUCACAAAAUAACUCCCACAAUCAAUUCAUAAAUCUGAAAAGAAAGACAAGUUUACUUCUUUGACCAUAGUCAUUAAUUCAUGAAUUAAACUACAAAUUAAUGUCAAGAUUUGACUACGUUUUUUGUGCAACAUGGACUUCCUUGGGCUUGUAAAUCGACGGGCCUCCAAAGCACUAAGUGAUCCAGUGGGCUGGAUCCGGUAUCAACAGAGGUGUUGAUUAAAUCGGUAGCUAUGCAUUACCAAUUUAUGUUAUGUCAAUUUUUAGACUACCAAAAACAAUCACUUCCAAACUUACAAGUACAUUAGCAAAAUUUUGGUCGAGCUCCAAUGGUCAGUCAAAGGGUAUGCAUUGGAUGAAUUGGAAUAAACUAUGUAUUGGUAAAUCGGAAGGUGGGCUUGGGUUCCGAAGUGUGGAUGACUUUAAUUCGGCCCGAUUAGCAAAACAAUUAUGGAAAUUAAUUACGGUUCCUGAUUCGGUUUUUGCGAAGGUUUUCAGAGGACGGUAUUUUCGAAAAUCCAAUCCCCUGGACCAAAUAAAAUCUUACUCUACAUCUUAUGGAUGGAAAAUGUAACGCCCCGACCGCCAUCUCUCUUAAUGGACCCCACGUCUUCUCUCAGCCCGUGGGCCCACCAUCUUCCGACGGCCGGUCCGCUACGUCCGGGAAGCUUUAAAGACUUGUUUACCGACCCUACAAAUCACCACAUGAUCUUUCCCUGUGUUUUGUCCUCACUCACACAGUUCCGAUAAUCACUUCUCGGAAAGUCACCCAUCGUGAAAUUGCUCCAGCUUAAGCAUGCUUAAUUGUGGAGUUCUCUCAGGACAGUUGACCAAAAAGAUAAGUGCACUUUAGUGACAUAGGUGGCCAAAUCGAUUCUUUUAAACCUCUCCGCAUGCACCACCAUAUUCUUAAUUUUUAAAGAGAGAUCCUAUUUAUUUCUUUUAAAUUAAUAUUUUUAAUUCUUGAUUUUUGAUUCUUAAUUUUUAAUUCUUAAUUUUUAAUUACUAAAAUGUAUUUAAAUGAGAUUUUAACUGUUUAAUUGAACUGUUGUAACAUUUGGUUUAUUUGACGAAUCAUUGCAAAUUUUGGUUUUGUUUACAAACCAUUGUAAUCUUUAGUAUAUAUGAUGAACCAUUGCAAGAUGUGGUAUAUUUGACGAAUCGUUACAAAUUUUGGUAUAUUUGAUAUCUACGGUAGCGUCUCUUGGUUAAAGUUCGUCAUAUUUUAAAACAAAUAUUUAAUUAUUAAAAUCUAUAUAUAUAUAAUGGGAGAGUUUUCUCUCCUCUUAAGGUGUCCACAUCAUCAUGUUAAACAUCCAAUUAAAAAAAGCCAUGUCAUUACUCAAUAUCUUCUAAUUUUUACAUUAAAGUCUAAUUACAAUGUUCAUCUAAUUCAUAUUUAUUUAUCUUGAUGUUAGUUAUAAUUAAUAGAAAUUUAAUUAAAUAAAAAUGAAUUAAAUGUAACAAAUCAAAUUUUAAAAUAGUAUAUGUAAUACUAUGAAAUUUUUAUUAGUAAUAAUAAUAUAAUUCAACUUUUAACAAUAAAAAAUUAAAAUGAUCAUACUUCAAAUUUUUGAAUGUGUUAAUUAGUUUUAGAAUGGAAGUCAAAUUUAAGUGCAUGGUAGAGUAAAUGUUUUUUUACGUAAUUGUGUUUCUACAAUUUUAAAGAGAAAAAUAAAAUUUAAAUUGAAACAUUAAUUUAUAAGAGCAAUAUACUACAAGAUUUUUUCUUUAUUAUUAAAUGUUCACCUAAGAAAAAAUUACUAAACUCAACCAAGUCGCCUUGGUCUAGUGGUAAAUGAUAGAAAAGUGAUUCUCGAUGGUGGUCCAAAGCUCUCGUGCGGUGCACUUCGUCUUCAAGACUGAUUUGAGGAGAGAUUCAGAUAUAGUGCCAUAGAUCCACAUCUUGAUGGUGCCGUCGGUUUGUGACCAUUGUGUGUCUGUUGGGCCAGUGGGAACCGAUGUGCCGUCGAGAUGGCCAAGAACUGUGAAGCUAUGACAGUGAGUUUCGAAAAGUUCACGCCAAAUAUCAUAAUUCAUUUGGUUCAUAUCCAAAAUGAUUGGGAUAUGAGCUUUGAUUUGAGUGAGGCUUAGGAUACGAUCGGUGGUGGCUAGAGCAGGAGGAUUAGGGGCUGCCAUGGUUUGUCACAAAAAAAAAAAAAGUAAGAAAUGAGAAAGAGCAGAGGGAUUAGUAGGAGAGAGAAGAGAAAAACAGAACAAGAGACUCGUGAGAUAAAAGGAGAAACAGAGAGGGUUUUUAGAAGAUAACAGAGAAAAGAGAGAAAAGAAAAUUUUGAGAGGGAGGCGGCUGGUUAGAGUACUAGCUCUGAUACCAUGUUUGAUUAGGUUAAUCCAAUCGAUGAUCGGAGCUAUAGUAUUGAUGUGAAUAUAUAACAGAGAUUGUACAAGAGAGCCGUUAAGGCUAUUAACUAAGCUUUCCUAAUAUACACAAACGUAUAUUUGUAUUCCUAUUCUAUUAUCCGUCACCUGGGUUCGAGUAGCAUUGGCUACCGGGGUUCGAAUUCUAACAUGGUUUCUCCGGGCCCCAGGAUUAGUCUUUGGGUCUAGAAAACCUUUAGGAUCACCUGAGUUAUCAAAAAAAAAAAAAAUUACUAAACUCAACUUAAAAUUUUCAUUUAAGACAAAGACAUUAAAAGAGAGUCACACUUUUUUGUGAAACUAUAGAAAGAAAUCGAUGACAAAGAUAAAAUAUAGAAACAAAUCAUGAAAAUUCAAAAACUUUAUAAUCUAUCUUUUAGAAAAUUAAUAAUAACAAUGGUUAUAUUAUUCAUGAAUUGUAUAACAAAACAUACAUAAAGUGAUAUGUAAGUUGUUAACAAAAAAAGUGAUAUGUACGUAAAUCAAAUGUUUUUUAACCCAAAAAAUUGGUGAAAAAAGCAUAUUUAAAUUGUAUAUUAUGUUUUUAUUUGACAAAACGAUGUUAAAGUUGCAUCACAAGAUUAAUAACUCAAAAUAACAAAAACGGUAAGCCAAAUAGUGGUUUGAAAUCACAAAAUAUGGUAGGCUAAAGAGUGGUUUGAAAUCUUAAUGACACUAUUACAGAUGAAGAUGAGUCACCUUAUUUAAGUGUUUUGAAAACAAAAAAAAAGACUAUAAUAUUUUCAUAGAAACUUUUUUAAGUGUAUUUAAACAUUAGAUUAUGCAAUCUAUAAAAUUUUCAUAGAAAUUGUCUAAAAAUAUCAAAUAUACAUUUUUUAUAUAGAUAUUAGUCAAAUUUUUAACAUUUAGAGUUAUAUUCAGCUGUUAUAAUUAUAAAAUUUUGACUUCUAUAAAAACAUAAUAUAUUACUAAACCCAUACAACGCAUGAGUCAUUUUCUAGUAUAUUUAAUUGAAUUGUUGCUACCUUUUAAUUUAACAUAGUAACAUUUGGUUUAUUUGACGAACCAAUGAACAUUUUCGCUUAUUUAUCAAACCAUUGUAACAUUUGAUCUUUUUUUUUUUUGUCAUCCGUAAUUAAAUAGUGCUCAAAAGAGCCAUUCUUGUGGAAUGUUGUUUACAUAAGUGAUAUGAAGCGGUUCCGUACGAACUUUUCGUGCCAGAUUAUCCGCUUUUACAUUUGCACAACGAGAAAUUAAAGAUAAAGAGAAGGUAGAGAACUCUUCCUUGUCGCUCUGAAAUUCCUCCAGAUACACUGAGAAGGCCGGCCAUUCGGUUGGGGAAGACACCAUCUUCACCAGGUCAGAACAGUCUGUAAGGAAUGCUACCUCUUGAUUAUCUGCACCAAUCAUACACUUCAUCGCCCAAAGGAGUGCCUCGAAUUCGGCAUGUAGCGGAGAUAGGCUUCUACGGAGGUUGGCAGCUCCCAUUGUUGAUGGCUCACCGUUUGAUGGUGUACAAAACCACCCUAUCCCAGAAAACUUGUCGCUGUCUUUCCAGGAUCCAUCCACAAAACAACGGUAUCCUGUAAAAUCCGAAUCUAGGGACACCCCCCUCGUUUGAGGCCGAUUUGGAAAUUCCACUGAAGCCGGAGUUUCAGUAUGAAGCUCCACUUGAGCUGAGUGCCACAAUUGUGCCUCUCUUUCCGCUAACCGUAAAACCUCUAACGGAUCGUUAUCCACAUUUUCAAACAAUUUUUCAUUCCGUGCUUUCCAAAUAUACCAAAUAAUCCAAGGAAAAGCUAUAGAAUCAAACUCCGAUGGUAUUCUCCAAAAUAAAUGAUCCAAGUUUGCAAAAAUAGAAUCUGUGGGAAAAGUCCCCAUUACCGUAGGAAUCUGAGAAAGUGCCCAAACCUGUCUUGCUGGAUGGCACUGAAAGAGUGUGUGAUUGACUGUUUCCUCCAGUGCACCACAUCUGGCAAAACCACUGUCACAAUCAAUUCCUCUUUUUCGUAAGUUCUCUGUAACCGGUACACAACCCGUUAAGAUUUGCCAUAAAAAAUGACGUAUCCUAGGUGGACACUGUACUUUCCAAGUAUGAGCCUUUAACAUAUUGAAAUCUGGCCCAAUGAAAGAUGAGUUGGUCUCCAACUUAUCCAACCGUGCGGUAUGAUACCCCGACUUAACUGAAUAUUUGCCGGAUAUUGUAAAAUGCCAACCCAAGGUGUCCUCCUUGGUUGGCGCACCCACCGGUAGGGCACUUAUUAACUCGAUAUCUUCCUGGUCAAAGACCGCUUUGAGGAGAUCAAUGUCCCAAAAAUUAGAUCGACUAUCUAUAAGCAUGUUAACUUUUAAAGAUGGGUCAUUAAUAGAUCCAUUACUUUUUGCUGGUCUCAGAAAUUGAGCUGGAAUCCACGGAUCCUCCCAAACUGAGAUGGAAUUCCCAGAUCCGACUCUUUUAAUAAGUCUUUUAUUAACCAGAGAUCUAGCUGAGCAUAUACUCCGCCACCCAUACGAUGGGGAAUAUGACUUUAUAUUUUCCAAAGGAUUGGAUUUCCUAUAAUACCGCCCUUUAAAAACCCUCGCAAAGAGAGAAUCCGGAACCGUGAUCAACCGCCACAACUGUUUUGCAAGUAAGGCCGAAUUAAAAUCAUCGACGUUUCGAAAUCCUAUCCCUCCUUCCGAUUUAUUAAUACAUAAUUUAUCCCAAGCCAUCCAAUGCAUACCUCUUGAGGCACCAUUCGAGCUCCACCAGAAAUUAGCAACCGCACUAGUGAGUUUAGAAGUGAUUGUUUUCGGUAGUCUGAAGCACGACAUAACAUAAGUUGGUAAUGCCGCAGCUACCGAUUUAAUCAUCACUUCUUUCCCACCUUUUGAUAAAAAAUUUGCCGACCAUCCGUUAAUCCUUGUCUGUAACCUGUCUCUAACAAAAGAGAAAUUUUUUGUUUUUGAACCACCGAGACUUUCUGGCAACCCAAGAUAUGAACCCAUACCACCAAUAUUAGUGAUACCUAAGGUAGAUUUGAUAUCUUCCUUCACACCGUCAUCUACCUUAUGCCCAAACUGGAUUGAAGAUUUGGAAUAAUUUAUUUGUUGUCCCGAGACCGCUUCAUAUUGCUUUAAGAUCCCCAAGAUUACCCCACACUGAUCCUUGUUAGCCUUACAAAAAAAUAGACUAUCAUCCGCAAAAAGCAGGUGAGAAACCGAUGGGCUUGCAGUUGCCACCUUGAUACCCGUAAUUAAUUUAUCCCGUUCUGCUUUCCGUAUGUUCGCAAUUAAUACUUCAGUACAAAGAAUAAAUAGAUAAGGAGACAGCGGAUCUCCUUGCCGUAAACCCCUCUCUGGUACUAUUAGUCCUCGAGGUUGUCCAUUAAGAAGAACCCUAUAUUGGACAGUACAGAUACACCACAUUAUCCAACUAAUCCAUUUUUCACAAAACCCCAGUUUGGUUAAAACUUUUUCAACGAAAAUCCAUUCCACUCUAUCAUAAGCCUUACUCAUGUCAGUUUUAAUUGCCAUGAAUUUUCCUUUACAUGAUGGGUUAGUUCGUAACCCAUGGAACAUCUCUUGUGCAAUAAGAAUGUUAUCCGAAAUUAACCGUCCUUCUACAAAAGCUGAUUGUGUUUCCGAGAUCAGUUUUGGUAGUACUGUCUUUAGUCUUUGGCAAAGAAUCUUUGAUAUAAUCUUGUAACCAACAUUGCAGAGACUAAUAGGUCGUAGUUCCGUCAUCCGAGUCGGUCUUUCCGUUUUUGGAAUAAGACAAAUAUUUGUCGUAUUUAACCGUUUGUCAAAAUUCCCAUCCUCUAAAAAAGAAUUAACCAAACAUAAAAGAUCUACUUUAAUGGUAGCCCAUGCUUUCUGAAAAAACAAAGCCGUCAUACCAUCUGGCCCCGGUGCCUUCUCCGGGUGCAUCAUAAAAAGUGCUGCUCUCACUUCAUCCUCUGUUGCCGGGGCUAUUAAAAAAUCAUUAAUCUGAUCUGUGAUCAGACUUUGUACUUCUUCCAACGCAUCCUCAAAAACCUCAGGUUUUGUUGUAGUGAAUAAAGUCUUAAAGUAGGAAACCACUAUAUUUUGAACCUCUUUAUCUUCCGUUGACCAUGUCCCAUUCUCAUCAUGUAAACCCGUGAUUCGAUUCCUCGCCCGUCUCUGCUUCGUUAAAGCGUGAAAAUAUUUUGAGUUAUUGUCCCCUAAUUGCAUCAAAGAGCUUCUGCUUUUCUGGUGCCAAUACAAUUCCUCGUCCCGAUAGGCCUCUUUCAACCGCAAUGUUAAAUCCGUAAUUUCUUCCCGUGAUCGCCUAUCGUCUCUUUGCGCCGCAUAUAGUUCCGAUUUAAAUCUUCAAUCGUUUGCCGACCAUAGGGAGUCAACUCUCGUCGCCAUUGCGAAAUAGCUCGCCGGCAAUUAGUCAACUUUUCCACAAAUUUCCCGUCGCCUGGUUCAGAAUCAAAAUUCCAACCAUCUGCAAUUGUCUCCAGUAAACCUUCUUUCCCUAUCCACCUUUUGUCAAACCUGAAACUAUGUUUCCCGCGUGGCAUCUUAUCCGCAAUCGUAGCUAAGACCGGUGAAUGGUCAGAAGCUACCAUUUGUAAAUAUUCUACAAAUGUGUUGCAGAAUAAUUCAUGCCAAUCUUCAUUCGCUAGAGCCCGAUCUAGACGACAUCGUAUUGGUUUUUUAUCCCGCCACCCCCGCCAAGACAACCAAUCGCCGAUAUAAGGAAAUUCCAGAAGACCACAAUUUUGAAUCAUUAGAUUAAACGGAAUAAAAGAAGACGCGUGUCUUAAUUUACCCCCUCGCUUUUCAUGAUUUCCAGUUAAUUCGUUAAAAUCACCAAUUAAAAACCACGGAGAAUCCCGAGAUAAACCGGUUCUAGUUAACCGCUCCCACACUUGUUCCCGCUUACUAGGAACCGGGUCUCCAUAAACAAAAGUGAGAUAAAUUACUUUGCCCUUAUAGUUUGCUUCAAUAUCGAUCACACGAUUACUUGCAAAUAAAACCAAAACAUGAUAAUCAUUAUUAAAAAAAAGGGCUAAACCGCCACUACAACCAAUAGGAUCCACCGUUUUAAAAUUUUUAUAACCAAAGUGACCUACAAAUUUUUCCAUAAAAGAAGAGGAUUGUUUAGUUUCCGACAGAAAUAAAAAAUCCGGCCUAUGUUGCUUCCACAAAUCCCGAAGAUACCCAAUUGUUGCCUUAUUUCCUAACCCUUGACAAUUUCAACUUAAAACUUUCAUUUAUUAUCAACCUUUCGAUUAAGUGGGUUGCGUCCACCUGUUAAUCCCUUCACCGUGCCAUGGUGCGUCGGGUUAUGCCCUUCAUUCCCUUGAUUAUUUCUUAGAGAAACCAAAUUACAAUUGACCAUUGAUAUUCUUACCCUUAAAGUAUCCACAUCCAACCAUGAAAAACCAGAAAUCAAACUGUUGUAAAAACGUUUGUUACAACCAAUGAAACUCCACUCGAUACACUCAAAAUCCAAAAUCAACCGACCCACAUCAUAACUUUCAGAAAUAUUCCGACCACCCACAAUAGCCCAUGGAAGAGUACUCAAAGCCCUCCUUCUCCUAUCACCGGAAAACCAUCUGUUAAAAACUCCUUCAUCUGACCUUCUCUCCUCAAUCGUUUUCAACCGAAAACCUCUUUGAUCCGCAGUCCAAGACCAAACUGCAGCUGAAACAAUCUCAAAUUCCAAUAACAACACCUCCCUAUCCACAAUAUAUAUUCCACCGAAGCUCAAACCCAAAAACUCAAACCCCAAAUACAACCGGAAAAAAAACCAUUUUUUUUUUUUUUUCGAUUACAACCUCCAUUUCAUCAGCUAUUACAUGGUUAGUAAACAUACCUCCCUCAAUCAAGAGGGCAUCAUUCUUUACAUUUACUACCUCCAAAAAUUCUCUGGUUACUAAAAGAUUUCCAAAUAAAACAAAACCAAUACACAUGCUUAUGCUUUGAGCUCUUUUAUUUAUGAAAGCUCUUGAUACGCUUCCUUUAAGUAUCCAAAACAUCACCUCUGUGCCUUGUAUACAUACCCUAAAUGCAGCCGGAUCAAGGAGAUAUGAUCUGGAUCUAUCUAAAGACUCAAUCUCUUGGAAAUCCGGGAACCAAAACCAAAUUUCCAAAACCAUAAUUCUUUGAAAUACAAAAACCCUCCGCACUGCCAUCGUAACCCAGCGAUUUCUCAUCUUUAGAACAAUCUCAAUCCUCUCUUGAAUCACCAGAAACAAGGAUUCGAACUUGUUAUCUAAAGAUUCAGCCACUGAAAUUUCCGUCCUAGCUAUCCGAGAUACUCGCAACCUUGAAUCCAGAUCAUCCCCAUGACCCAACCGAUAAGAAUUAACCACCAAAUCCAAUCUCCUUGUGAAGAUUGUUCUCAAAUCCACUAUUUCUUCCCCAAAUCGAACCCAGAUAUGAAGACAUCGUUGGGUUCUUAUCACCCACGACCAACCUCCUAAUUUUGUCCAAAAAAGAACCUUCCAAAACCCAUUACGGAGCUCUCUCAAUCUCCCCUCUCCCUCACCGUCACCUGAUUGACCAAAGAUUAAAGCCUCAUAGACAAACCCCUCAAAAAACCAAAGCAAAACCGUAAGAAACCAAACCGAAGACAUCUCAAAACCCUAGAUCCGCCGUCGUCCAGCCAUCGCGAUUAAUACCAAAGUGUUUUUACUUUGUUUUUUCUUUUUUCUUUUAUUUUUAUUUGUCCAUUGUAACAUUUGAUCUAUUUCAUGCCUUUUAAAUAUUGGAAUAUUUUUUAGUUACAAAUUAAUGUUUUUCUAAUACUAAUAUACUUAACAAUGCUUGUGAGAG
This 29747-nucleotide long non-coding RNA is filed under the name Arabidopsis lyrata. RNAcentral describes it as "long non-coding RNA (ALYR_LNC002533)". The record is from RNAcentral. Lineage: Eukaryota; Viridiplantae; Streptophyta; Magnoliopsida; Brassicales; Brassicaceae.